GAUGAACGCUGGCGGCGCGCCUAACACAUGCAAGUCGAACGAUUAAAGCACCUUCGGGUGUGUAUAAAGUGGCGAACGGCUGAGUAACACGUGGGCAACCUGCCCCUUUCAUUGGGAUAGCCACGGGAAACCGUGGAUAAUACCGAAUACUUCGAGACUUCCGCAUGGAAGACUCGAGAAAGCUCCGGCGGAGAGGGAUGGGCCCGCGGCCUGUUAGCUUGUUGGUGGGGUAACGGCCUACCAAGGCAAUGAUGGGUAGCUGGGUUGAGAGACCGACCAGCCAGAUUGGGACUGAGACACGGCCCAGACUCCUACGGGAGGCAGCAGUGGGGAAUCUUGCACAAUGGGCGAAAGCCUGAUGCAGCGACGCCGCGUGCGGGAUGAAGGCCUUCGGGUUGUAAACCGCUUUCAGCAGGGACGAGGCGAAAGUGACGGUACCUGCAGAAGAAGCCCCGGCGAACUACGU
Molecule: ribosomal RNA, 466 nt
Filed under: uncultured bacterium
Lineage: Bacteria
Description: partial 16S ribosomal RNA
Rfam family: Bacterial small subunit ribosomal RNA
Source: RNAcentral